Molecule: ribosomal RNA, 492 nt
Filed under: uncultured bacterium
Lineage: Bacteria
Description: partial 16S ribosomal RNA
Rfam family: Bacterial small subunit ribosomal RNA
Source: RNAcentral
GAUGAACGCUCGCUACAGGCUUAACACAUGCAAGUCGAGGGGAAACGACAUUGAAAGCUUGCUUUUGAUGGGCGUCGACCGGCGCACGGGUGAGUAACGCGUAUCCAACCUGCCCAUCACUUGGGAAUAACCUUGCGAAAGUAAGACUAAUACCCAAUGACAUCCCACGAAGACAUCUGAAUGGGAUUAAAGAUUUAUCGGUGAUGGAUGGGGAUGCGUCUGAUUAGCUUGUUGGCGGGGUAACGGCCCACCAAGGCAACGAUCAGUAGGGGUUCUGAGAGGAAGGUCCCCCACAUUGGAACUGAGACACGGUCCAAACUCCUACGGGAGGCAGCAGUGAGGAAUAUUGGUCAAUGGGCGAGAGCCUGAACCAGCCAAGUAGCGUGCAGGAUGACGGCCCUAUGGGUUGUAAACUGCUUUUAUAAGGGAAUAAAGUGGGUCUCGUGAGACUUUUUGCAUGUACCUUAUGAAUAAGGACCGGCUAAUUCCGUG